RNAcentral lists this long non-coding RNA (1285 nucleotides) under Rhagoletis pomonella (apple maggot). Its description in RNAcentral is "uncharacterized LOC118751292". Lineage: Eukaryota; Metazoa; Arthropoda; Insecta; Diptera; Tephritidae. The record is from RNAcentral.
GAAAGGGCAUGUGGUCGAACAAUUGUUCAGGUUGCAGCCGGGCAUUAUUUGAAUACGGGCCUGCAACAUCCAGUGUCUAAAACCGUAUAUCCGAUUAAAGCAUUAGAGGAUACAUCAGAGGCGUGAUGAAAAAAAAAACGUGCGAGUCAUUUUACAGGGACUCUAUCAUGGACGGUUUCGUUUUCGCCCAAAGACAAGUUCAUAUCCCCGAAGCGAGUAAAAAAAAAAUAGGCAAUAAGCAAUAAGCCUUGGAAACGGCGAUAUUACUUUCACGUGAAAAUUUGCUACCCGGGGUUAAAAGUCACUGAUUGCUAACAUCUGCCACUAUCGUUUCUUAUUAUUAUUUUAAAAUCGUAUGGAGCCCUGGGCAUCAGCCGGCCCCUAUGUUACUCUCGAUCGUCUGCUACUAUUUAAGUCUCAUCGGUGGAGUUAUGCCCUAUGGCAAUGUGGACCGAUUAAGUAACUGCCCACAGUUUAGUUAAUUAUUCGGCAGUUUUCAAUUUAAUUUGUUGGAUGUGUCAGCCAAUGGUUGCUUCGUCAAUUCAACCUCAGUUUAGUUAUAUUUUGCGUAACAUCUGCAAAAAUCACAUGUAUAUGCAUAUGAAUGUAUGUCCAACUCAUAGUCUACCUAAUCAAAAUGAAUUGCAACAGUCUGAAUGAGUUGAACUUCUGAAGUUGGUGACGACUAUGUAUAUGCAAAAUACGACCAGGUCAGAAGAUGUGCUACAAAAGUACAGUGUAAUUAAGUACAAUAUGGGUUUUUCACACCACCGCAUUGCAUUCUGUUAAGGGGUAUACCCGGCCCGUUCGCAAAUUGCUUGCUAGAUUCUGGACGAAAUCGUAUAUGGUCCGACACCCCCGUGCCAUCUGAAUAAGUUACACCGGAAUGCUAGGAACAAUGUACAUAGUAAAGGAGUGCUCACGAAAUGGCGUAAACUUCUUGGCUGGCAUACUCCGUUGGAUCCUCCACAAAGUCAUAAUUUAUCAUUGAUAAAAAAAAACUGCUUCAUUUGCUAUGGGGUCAUCAAUGCCGUGAAAGAAAGUUGUACAUGCGUUUUAAAAACUUUCGUAAGACAGAGAGAAUUAGGGGACAUUUGCUGUUGCAAAGACUAGCGCUUCGCAACAUAUGACGAGUUUCUCUUGGAGCCAUGAUCAUUGCUUUAACGCACUGCUACUAACGACGUAGGAGCGACUUACAAUUCACAAUGUCAUAAAGCGGAUUUAUUUAUUUGAUGUCAGCGUUCCUGUGGUAGCUGCUCGUGGAUACCUGGUAUUUUGUUCCGGA